This 465-nucleotide ribosomal RNA is filed under the name Vreelandella stevensii. RNAcentral's name for it is "partial 16S ribosomal RNA". It matches the Rfam family "Bacterial small subunit ribosomal RNA", at positions 338 to 795 of the family's 1533-position model. The record is from RNAcentral. Lineage: Bacteria; Pseudomonadati; Pseudomonadota; Gammaproteobacteria; Oceanospirillales; Halomonadaceae.
CCUACGGGGGGCUGCAGUGGGGAAUAUUGGACAAUGGGGGCAACCCUGAUCCAGCCAUGCCGCGUGUGUGAAGAAGGCCCUCGGGUUGUAAAGCACUUUCAGUGAGGAAGAACGCCUGGUGGUUAAUACCCAUCAGGAAAGACAUCACUCACAGAAGAAGCACCGGCUAACUCCGUGCCAGCAGCCGCGGUAAUACGGAGGGUGCGAGCGUUAAUCGGAAUUACUGGGCGUAAAGCGCACGUAGGUGGCUUGAUAAGCCGGUUGUGAAAGCCCCGGGCUCAACCUGGGAACGGCAUCCGGAACUGUCAAGCUAGAGUGCAGGAGAGGAAGGUAGAAUUCCCGGUGUAGCGGUGAAAUGCGUAGAGAUCGGGAGGAAUACCAGUGGCGAAGGCGGCCUUCUGGACUGACACUGACACUGAGGUGCGAAAGCGUGGGUAGCAAACAGGAUUAGAUACCCUUGUAGUC